UAAACGCGGUCGAUACGGACUCGUGCGUCACUAAGACUAAGACGCCGCGGGGACUGUGCGGGUGUGCGGGGCGACCCCGCCUCCGCGGCUCACCUCAUGCCCCGAUUGCCAUGUCGACCUGUCGUCAACUAUAGGUAUAUAGUUUCGAUAGUAGUAUCUUGUGAUAUUAUUAUGAUUCAGAGUAAUAACUCUAACAUAACAACCACACACGUCAGUGCAGUAUCGUUUUAUUAAAUCGAUAACAAUAACCCUAAGUGCAUUCUAAUUUAUUUCAUUACGAGAAAGGUUUUUAUUUAUUCCAUUGGAAGACAACACAGUAGGUACUUUUCGUAACGCUCUGCCGUUCUAACGGUGCAUUGCGAUGCAACGCAACGGAUCUACAAUGCUCGUGGUGAUUGAUUUUUUUCCCAUCAGUCAAGGUAAUCAGUCGCGUCGGGCUGACAAUUAAAAACGCCUGCCAUCGAAAAAGUUCCCAAGCUCAACAGUGUAUUGAAAAGUAACCGUGCAAACUUAAUUAUAUGUAUACGUAUAUAUUCAAUGUAGCACUUUGAUAUUCAAGCAGACUUUUAUCCCAUUAACACAGAUUUGGAGCGAAAUAUGAACCAAUAGUUGACCGGUUGGGCGAAGUCACUUUUAUACGAAACAUCAAUCUUAAACGGCCUCAGUGGUCCAGUGGUUGAGCGUUGUGCUCACGAUCCGGAGGUCCCGGGUUCGAAACCCGGUGGGGAAAUAUCACAAAAAUCACUUUGUGAUCCCUAGUUUGGUUAGAACAUACAGGCCGAUCACCUCAUUGUCCAAAAGUAAGAUGAUACGUGCUUCGGAAGGCACGUUAAGCCAUUGGUCCCGGUUACUACUUACUGACGUAAGUACGUAGUCGUUACAUGAGUCAUGUCAGAGGCCUAUGGCGGCUCAAUAAUAAUAAAGAUUAAAGCCAAAAAAAAGUCUAAAGAUGUAUACUUAAUAUAAAAAAUAUGAUUUAAAAACACACCCUAAUUACUGUGAUUAUUUACCAUUCUCUUAUCUUGCUAUAGAUAAUAAUAGCUUUGGGAAGAUAUGAAAACGCUGUAUGUCCUUGAUAAGUACCUUUAUUAAUCGAUCGAGUUCCGUCAUAGGCAGACAUUCUCUGUUGACUUAAUUAAGUGGCUACAGGAAACUCACUCACGUGUGGCCUUAUUGGCCAUGCAAGGGUACGACACGGUUAUUGAGAGCUAAAUCUGAGAGUGCUCUCUGGAUAAUUACCAGAACUUCUGUAGCCGAGGUUCUAUACUUUAUAACUGGACCCUAACUAUGCACCUACAAAGAGACUUCCUUUUAUAUCUUACUCGUUCAAUACCCUUAGAGUUACAUGCUGUUUUCAGGGCAGGCAGGAAAAAGAAAGUGACCUUUGAAAGUAAACUAUGGACAUCCCGUACAGGUGAGUUAACUAAAAUUGACGCGUAAAACUAUCGUAUUGAACUGUAAUCUUCUUUACGUUUAACUGUUUCUUGUGGUAUGUGCAAUAAAUAAAUAAUGGUGCUAAUUCCUGUAGACACCAUCUAAUUUUAUUUUAAGUUAUACCUGUCAUUUUCUUAUCCGCCGAAAAGGAAAGGGACGGACAAUCGAGAGGCAUUUUAGGCAGAAGUUUAAAAAACCCAUCCAAAUUUUUUUAUUGGCCAAUAACCCAUCGGAAUUAAGUUGGCAGCACACGUCAAGUGGAUUGCGUAUGAGCGAGAUUCCUAUUGUCUUCGCCCGGGUUAUUGGAUGGACAGUCCCAUCCUAACUCAUUGGAUGUACAUGCAUGUGACAUCCAAUUAGAAUUAUAAAUUUUACUAACUUAGAUAUAAUAUUCUAUUACUAACAAAAUAUGGAUAAAAAGAAAUCCGAAAUAUUUGAUUUCAUAUUCAUUCAUUUUGAAAUCAUCCGUCCCUUUCAUUUUAAGCGAAUAAAAAAAUGACAGGUAUAACUUAAAAUAAAAUUAGGAGGUAUACGCAGGAAUCGCGGCCACUGUGUUAGUACAUACACCUGCUUUAGUUAAUUGUCCCUAUACAUGGUUGUUUUUGAACGCUAAAGUAUCGACCUUUUUCUGCCUGUCUGAGAAACAGACUUUAAGAUAAGUAAAUGUUGUUUGUAUCAUAGAGUAAUAUAUUACGACUUAUGGUAGUCUGUCAUGGACAUAAUAUAUUUAAUAAUGAUCUUAAUGUAAAAAAUUCCGCCUUAUCACUUUUGAAUUGUGUAUUUUUUUUCCGUUACCUACUAAUAUAUUUGAUGUUUUUUUCGCUAUGGUUACCUAAAAUAAUAAAGAAAAAUAAAGAAAAACAAAAAAGAAAGAGAGAGGUUAUAAAGUAGCAUGGAAAAUCCUGCACCGACAAGAGCGUGGCUCUUAAAUUGAUGAUCAGUUAAGGAAACUAGUAUUUUGUUUAGUAAGUACUUAUGCUUAUUUUUUUUUUAUGUAUUUUGUAUUACUUACUUAAAUCUUUAUUAUGAAUCAUUUCAUAAUGCUUAAUAGUGAAAAGAACUUUAGGAAACAAUGAUUGCACAUGAAAAAAAAACUAACCAAACCUGGUUUAAAAGUGCUAAGCCAGUGUAAAACAUACCAUAACACCACGGCAGUAUACCUGAAGUGGUAGCCAGGGUUAAACUCAAUAUAAUAUUUAUCCUGUAAAUAGACUAGUUACUAAAACAUUAGUUAUUUUCUGAUGUACCUAUUUAAACUUAAUACCAUUAGUUUGUAUUUUUGAUGUUUGUAAAUAUGUAAAUACAUUUCAAGAAUUUUCCAUA
Molecule: long non-coding RNA, 2757 nt
Organism: Pectinophora gossypiella (pink bollworm)
Lineage: Eukaryota; Metazoa; Arthropoda; Insecta; Lepidoptera; Gelechiidae
Exons: 2
Source: RefSeq, a predicted model, not a curated record